UUGAUUAUGACAAGUUGACAGGUCAACUAGAACAGAAUUGUCAAGAGUUGACAGGUCAACCAAUUUGCUAAAGGUUGACAGGUCAACCAGUAGAUCCAGACCUGGAGAUUCUCCCUCAAGAAUAGAAGAUAAAAGAUCAUCCUCAUCUAAUGCUAUCUUAGUAAAGGCAGCAAAGUCAUCAAUAUUGACAUGAUGGUUCCGG
Molecule: long non-coding RNA, 202 nt
Filed under: Prunus persica (peach)
Lineage: Eukaryota; Viridiplantae; Streptophyta; Magnoliopsida; Rosales; Rosaceae
Description: long non-coding RNA (PPER_LNC000210)
Source: RNAcentral